RNAcentral lists this ribosomal RNA (497 nucleotides) under uncultured bacterium. Its description in RNAcentral is "partial 16S ribosomal RNA". It matches the Rfam family "Bacterial small subunit ribosomal RNA", at positions 28 to 507 of the family's 1533-position model. The record is from RNAcentral.
GAUGAACGCUGGCGGCGUGCCUAAUACAUGCAAGUCGAGCGAACGGACGAGAAGCUUGCUUCUCUGAUGUUAGCGGCGGACGGGUGAGUAACACGUGGAUAACCUACCUAUAAGACUGGGAUAACUUCGGGAAACCGGAGCUAAUACCGGAUGAUAUUUUGAACCGCAUGGUUCAAAAGUGAAAGACGGUCUUGCUGUCACUUAUAGAUGGAUCCGCGCUGCAUUAGCUAGUUGGUAAGGUAACGGCUUACCAAGGCAACGAUGCAUAGCCGACCUGAGAGGGAGAUCGGCCACACUGGAACGGAGGCACGGUCCAGACGCCUACGGGAGGCAGCAGUAGGGAAUCUUCCGGAAUGGGCGAAAGCCUGACGGAGCAACGCCGCGUGAGUGAUGAAGGUCUUCGGAUCGUAAAACUCUGUUAUUAGGGAAGAACAUAUGUGUAAGUAACUGUGCACAUCUUGACGGUACCUAAUCAGAAAGCCACGGCUAACUACGUG